GACGAACGCUGGCGGCGUGCUUAACACAUGCAAGUCGAACUGAAAGGCCCUGCUUUUGUGGGGUGCUCGAGUGGCGAACGGGUGAGUAACACGUGAGUAACCUGCCCUUGACUUUGGGAUAACUUCAGGAAACUGGGGCUAAUACCGGAUAGGAGCUCCUGCUGCAUGGUGGGGGUUGGAAAGUUUCGGCGGUUGGGGAUGGACUCGCGGCUUAUCAGCUUGUUGGUGGGGUAGUGGCUUACCAAGGCUUUGACGGGUAGCCGGCCUGAGAGGGUGACCGGCCACAUUGGGACUGAGAUACGGCCCAGACUCCUACGGGAGGCAGCAGUGGGGAAUAUUGCACAAUGGGCGGAAGCCUGAUGCAGCAACGCCGCGUGCGGGAUGACGGCCUUCGGGUUGUAAACCGCUUUCGCCUGUGACGAAGCGUGAGUGACGGUAAUAGGUAAAGAAGCACCAGCUAACUACGUG
Molecule: ribosomal RNA, 468 nt
Filed under: uncultured bacterium
Lineage: Bacteria
Description: partial 16S ribosomal RNA
Rfam family: Bacterial small subunit ribosomal RNA
Source: RNAcentral